This 890-nucleotide ribosomal RNA is filed under the name Streptomyces sp. Its description in RNAcentral is "bacterial SSU rRNA". It matches the Rfam family "Bacterial small subunit ribosomal RNA", at positions 8 to 916 of the family's 1533-position model. Lineage: Bacteria; Bacillati; Actinomycetota; Actinomycetes; Kitasatosporales; Streptomycetaceae. The record is from RNAcentral.
AGAGUUUGAUCCUGGCUCAGACGACGCUGGCGGCGUGCUUAACACAUGCAAGUCGAACGAUGAAGCCCUUCGGGGUGGAUUAGUGGCGAACGGGUGAGUAACACGUGGGCAAUCUGCCCUUCACUCUGGGACAAGCCCUGGAAACGGGGUCUAAUACCGGAUAACACUCCUGCCUGCAUGGGCGGGGGUUAAAAGCUCCGGCGGUGAAGGAUGAGCCCGCGGCCUAUCAGCUUGUUGGUGGGGUAAUGGCCCACCAAGGCGACGACGGGUAGCCGGCCUGAGAGGGCGACCGGCCACACUGGGACUGAGACACGGCCCAGACUCCUACGGGAGGCAGCAGUGGGGAAUAUUGCACAAUGGGCGAAAGCCUGAUGCAGCGACGCCGCGUGAGGGAUGACGGCCUUCGGGUUGUAAACCUCUUUCAGCAGGGAAGAAGCGAAAGUGACGGUACCUGCAGAAGAAGCGCCGGCUAACUACGUGCCAGCAGCCGCGGUAAUACGUAGGGCGCAAGCGUUGUCCGGAAUUAUUGGGCGUAAAGAGCUCGUAGGCGGCUUGUCACGUCGGAUGUGAAAGCCCGAGGCUUAACCUCGGGUCUGCAUUCGAUACGGGCUAGCUAGAGUGUGGUAGGGGAGAUCGGAAUUCCUGGUGUAGCGGUGAAAUGCGCAGAUAUCAGGAGGAACACCGGUGGCGAAGGCGGAUCUCUGGGCCAUUACUGACGCUGAGGAGCGAAAGCGUGGGGAGCGAACAGGAUUAGAUACCCUGGUAGUCCACGCCGUAAACGUUGGGAACUAGGUGUUGGCGACAUUCCACGUCGUCGGUGCCGCAGCUAACGCAUUAAGUCCCCGCCUGGGGAGUACGGCCGCAAGGCUAAAACUCAAAGGAAUUGACGG